This 2189-nucleotide long non-coding RNA is filed under the name Nicotiana benthamiana. RNAcentral's name for it is "long non-coding RNA (NBEN_LNC017820)". Lineage: Eukaryota; Viridiplantae; Streptophyta; Magnoliopsida; Solanales; Solanaceae. The record is from RNAcentral.
CUCUUCAUAUCUCAUUGUCUGCGCUAGAAGAGAUCCCACAAGAAUUUCCAAAUAUUUUUACACUUCAAUUGAUCGACUUACAUGACUGCUGUAUUCACCUGGCCAUAUCAGCACAGCAGAUUCAAAAAGAGCAAGAAGCCACUUAUGGAAGCCAAGUGACAAAUGUCCAUACAUACAAUUGUGGACAAGGUAAGAUCAUCCAUGUUUGAUCAUGCUUUGACAAAUAUAACAUAUUACCAAGCUUUUUUGUGAGUGUUAAAUAUUUCUUUAUACUGGAGUUUUGAUUCGAUCAACUUCAUGACUAAUGUGUUAAAAAAGCUAUCGACUGAAUUGAAGGAAGAAGAGAAAGGGAGAGGUGAGGGGCAAAUUCCAAAAUGAAUAAAACUUCUGAACAUAUUUUGACUAAACAAACUAUACUAAAGCCUUCUAAUCCUUUCAUUUCUCUUGUCGCCGUUUCAACAACAAUAACAACGACAAAUCUAGUGUGAUCCCACAAGUAGGGUCUUAGGAGAAUAGUGUCUAUGCAAUAUUACCCUUACCUUGUGAGGGUAAAGAUAUCUUGUGGCUGUUUCAUACGGUAAAAUUAGAUGCACAUUGCUUAUAACCUGUUUGGCCAAGCUGCAAAAAUAAGCUUAUUUUGAGAAGUGUUUUUUUACAAAAGUGCUUUUCUCAAAAGUACUUUUGGUGAGAAACAGUUUAUGUUUGGCUAAUUAGUUUGAAAAGCACUUCUGAGCAGCAAUUAGUGGUUGGCCAAGCUUUAAAAACUGCUUUUAAGUGUAUUUUUCUCAAAAAUGCUUCUCAAAAAAGUGCUUUUGGAGAGAAGCUACUUUUUUCUGUUUCUCCAAAACUGUUUGUGCUUCUCCUCAAAAAGUACUUUUUUCCCUUUCAGAAGCUUGGCCAAAUACCUUAAUUUUUUACCAAAAGUGCUUUUGGCAAAAAAAAAAAAUACUUUUGGCCAAAAAUAAGCUUGGCCAAACAGGCUAUUAGUCUCCUGCACUCCUCUCUUCUCUUUAACUUGACAAUUCGAGUACAGUAGAAGUUUUUUAAUAUGGUUGAGGAAAUAUUAAUACAAUUUUUUUUUUAAAUUUGACAUGUCGAAACACUUGAAUUAUUUGAAUUGCGCUGAAUUCUUAGAGUAACUUUGUUACAUUUGGAUUUUGGCAUACCACUUAUGCACCAACUUUUAUAACAAUAAUAUCAUUGGAAAUGAUUUAACAAAGAAAGAGCUAGAAUUAUAUUGGUUUUGAACUUGUUUAUUACUAGUAUCUUUUAAAUGCGUGAAGAUUAUAAUUCAACUGUAAUUUGAUGAUUAAGAUGCUAAUAUUUGUACUUCUUUUCUUUUUCAUAGCUUACUGCUUCCAAUGUCAACAUUUACUGAAGAGAAAUUCCGGCUGACUGAGGAAGGUAGCUGCAACCAUACUUCAUCAGAUCUUUCUAUUUUCCGUGAGCAUGGUGUUAAGAAAUUAAGAUCCUUAUGCAUUUGGUUUUGUUUUUAUUUCUUGCUUUUCAAUUUCAGUCAUCAUUUUUUAAGGCGAAAAUAAUAUUUGAACAAAAAAUACCCCUACUUAACACACUAAUAUGAACUACUGAAUAUUGGAAUAAAAUAUAUCAGAGGAAAAUGUGUGUCAUGAACUCCAGAUUUGAUUAUUUCUAUAUUCCAGUUUUAUUCAGCAGUGAAUAGCACAAAAAUUAUAGUAAAGGCAAUUUUAGAAAAUUGAGAGCAUUCAAAUCAAUUUGGUUGCUUCACCUGUUAUCUUUCUCUCGCCGGCGACGGUACUGGAAAGCCAACGUUGCGACGUGACGGCAAUCUCCGGUACCGCUCAACAAUCUCUGGAAAGAACUUUCCCGAUGGAUCGACGGAACCCUAACUUCAAUGAUUCUGCAUUCAAAAUUGUGAAAAUUAAUUGGUAUGGUUGGACUUGUCUCACGAGUACAGAGGUCAGAGAUGAUAAUAGUUAUGGUUUCUUAUUCAAAUUCAUUGCAACUCUUUUGAAUGUUUUCACAUAUACUCCCUCCUUUCAUUUUCUCCAGUUCAAACUUUAAACUCCAUGAGCAAUUUUUGGAGUUCGAACUAAUAAAAAUUUAAAUUCCAUGAAUUUUGUUUUUCGAGACAUCUCAUACUUCAAAAUAAUUCAUGGUAUUCAAAAAACUUUUAAAAUAGUGACUAAUGUUUGAUAGCAAGAAAUGGC